GGAAUGUAGCUCAGUUGGUAGAGUACUUGCCUCUACAGUACAUGAACAAGGUCCUGGGUUCAAUCCCCAGCACCA
RNAcentral lists this transfer RNA (75 nucleotides) under Marmota monax (woodchuck). RNAcentral's name for it is "tRNA.Sup". Lineage: Eukaryota; Metazoa; Chordata; Mammalia; Rodentia; Sciuridae. The record is from RNAcentral.